AAAUGAGGUGGCUCCUGCUGUUUUUCAACAGGUCUCCCAGUGGGUAUUUGUGUCCCAUGCUGCACUUGGGCUAAUCAUCUUUCAAGUCACUCCACAUCAGAUGAAGUGGAAAGGAGACCCCAGACAGUGUGUACGGGUCAGUCUGGCUGGGGAAGCAAGCAAAGGGAUGAUAUGUCUGAGUGACCAGAUCAGUGAAGUGCCACAGCAAGCCAGUGAUAUAUCAUAUUAUAAAAGUAUCAUCAACAUAUAAUGGUCACAUUCUCCAGUGCAUAACAAACAUACGUGCUUGUUAAGUGCCGACUGAACGAACAUUCAGUACCUCCAGAGCCAUGAUGUUCCACAGAAAGAAACAUAUGGAGAUAGGCAGGACUUGUUAAUUUGUUCUCAAAAGGAUACAGAUAAAAGCAGAUGCUAAGGGGAAAUAAAU
RNAcentral lists this long non-coding RNA (427 nucleotides) under Cyanistes caeruleus (blue tit). Its description in RNAcentral is "lncRNA (ENSCCEG00000001836.1)". The record is from RNAcentral. Lineage: Eukaryota; Metazoa; Chordata; Aves; Passeriformes; Paridae.